Molecule: ribosomal RNA, 254 nt
Filed under: uncultured bacterium
Lineage: Bacteria
Description: partial 16S ribosomal RNA
Rfam family: Bacterial small subunit ribosomal RNA
Source: RNAcentral
UACGUAGGGGGCAAGCGUUGUUCGGAAUUACUGGGCGUAAAGGGCGCGUAGGCGGCCCGAGCAAGUCGGGAGUGAAAGCCCGGGGCUCAACCCCGGAACGGCUCUCGAAACUGCGGGGCUCGAGUGCGGAAGAGGCAACUGGAAUUCCCAGUGUAGCGGUGAAAUGCGUAGAUAUUGGGAAGAACACCGGAGGCGAAGGCGGGUUGCUGGGCCGACACUGACGCUGAUGCGCGAAAGCCAGGGGAGCAAACGGG